AAAAAAGGUAAGCUACUAAGAGCGAAUGGUGGAUGCCUUGACUGGUAAAGGCGAUGAAGGACGUACUAGACUGCGAUAAGCUACGGGGAGCUGUCAAGAAGCUUUGAUCCGUAGAUUUCCGAAUGGGGCAACCCAAUGUAUAGAGAUAUACAUUACCUAUAUAGGAGCGAACGAGGGGAAUUGAAACAUCUUAGUACCCUCAGGAAAAGAAAUCAAUAGAGAUUGCGUCAGUAGCGGCGAGCGAAAGCGCAAGAGGGCAAACCCAGUGCUUGCACUGGGGGUUGUAGGACUGCAAUGUGCAAGAGGUGAGUUUAGCAGAACAUUCUGGAAAGUAUAGCCAUAGAGGGUGAUAGUCCCGUAUGCGAAAAACAAACCUUAGCUAGCAGUAUCCUGAGUAGGGCGGGACACGAGAAAUCCUGUCUGAAGCUGGGUCGACCACGAUCCAACCCUAAAUACUAAUACCAGAUCGAUAGUGCACAAGUACCGUGAGGGAAAGGUGAAAAGAACUGAGGUGAUCAGAGUGAAAUAGAACCUGAAACCAUUUGCUUACAAUCAUUCAGAGCCCUAUGUAGCAAUACAGGGUGAUGGACUGCCUUUUGCAUAAUGAGCCUGCGAGUUGUGGUGUCUGGCAAGGUUAAGCAAACGCGAAGCCGUAGCGAAAGCGAGUCUGAAUAGGGCGCUUAGUCAGAUGCUGCAGACCCGAAACGAAGUGAUCUAUCCAUGAGCAAGUUGAAGCUAGUGUAAGAACUAGUGGAGGACUGAACCCAUAGGCGUUGAAAAGCCCCGGGAUGACUUGUGGAUAGGGGUGAAAGGCCAAUCAAACUUCGUGAUAGCUGGUUCUCUCCGAAAUAUAUUUAGGUAUAGCGUUGUGUCGUAAUAUAAGGGGGUAGAGCACUGAAUGGGCUAGGGCAUACACCAAUGUACCAAACCCUAUCAAACUCCGAAUACCUUAUAUGUAAUCACAGCAGUCAGGCGGCGAGUGAUAAAAUCCGUCGUCAAGAGG
This 1003-nucleotide ribosomal RNA is filed under the name Campylobacter coli. Its description in RNAcentral is "partial 23S ribosomal RNA". It matches the Rfam family "Bacterial large subunit ribosomal RNA", at positions 1 to 1018 of the family's 2925-position model. Lineage: Bacteria; Pseudomonadati; Campylobacterota; Epsilonproteobacteria; Campylobacterales; Campylobacteraceae. The record is from RNAcentral.